RNAcentral lists this ribosomal RNA (460 nucleotides) under uncultured bacterium. RNAcentral describes it as "partial 16S ribosomal RNA". It matches the Rfam family "Bacterial small subunit ribosomal RNA", at positions 338 to 795 of the family's 1533-position model. The record is from RNAcentral.
CCUACGGGUGGCAGCAGUGAGGAAUAUUGGUCAAUGGGCGUAAGCCUGACCCAGCCAAGUCGCGUGAGGGAUGAAGGUUCUAUGGAUCGUAAACCUCUUUUAUAAGGGAAUAAAGUGUGGGACGUGUCCUAUUUUGUAUGUACCUUAUGAAUAAGGAUCGGCUAACUCCGUUCCAGCAGCCGCGGUAAGACGGAGGGUCCGAGCGUUGUCCGGAUUUGUUGGGUUUAAGGGGUUUGUAGGCGGCCUUUUACGUCAGCGGUGAAAGUCUGUGGCUCAACCAUAGAAUUGCCGUUGAAACUGGGGGGCUUGAGUGUGUUAGAGGCAGGCGGAAUGCGUGGUGUAGCGGUGAAAUGCUUAGAUAUCACGCAGAACCCCGAUUGCGAAGGCAGCCUGCCAAGCCAUGACUGACGCUGAUGCACGAAAGCGUGGGGAUCAAACAGGAUUAGAUACCCCAGUAGUC